RNAcentral lists this ribosomal RNA (344 nucleotides) under uncultured eukaryote. RNAcentral describes it as "SSU rRNA". It matches the Rfam family "Eukaryotic small subunit ribosomal RNA", at positions 567 to 929 of the family's 1831-position model. The record is from RNAcentral.
CCAGCAGCCGCGGUAAUUCCAGCUCCAAUAGCGUAUAUUAAAGUUGUUGCAGUUAAAAAGCUCGUAGUUGAAACUCUGACUGUAAGACUUCUAGUUCUUUGAACGGGAAGAUCUGCAGUCAUCCGCUUGUGAAUAUAACUCAUCCUUCACCGGUUGACUAUAUGAGCAAGCAUUUUACCUUGAGAAAAACAGAGUGUUCCAGGCAGGUUUGUCCGGAAUGCAUUAGCAUGGAAUAAUAGAAUAUGACUGGAGUCAAUUUAUUGGUUUACGACUACAGUAAUGAUUAAUAGGAACAGUCGGGGGCAUUAGUACUUGACAGUCAGAGGUGAAAUUCUUGGAUUUGU